Molecule: ribosomal RNA, 305 nt
Filed under: Amanita lavendula
Lineage: Eukaryota; Fungi; Basidiomycota; Agaricomycetes; Agaricales; Amanitaceae
Description: LSU rRNA
Rfam family: Bacterial large subunit ribosomal RNA
Source: RNAcentral
UAAGAGGUACCAUCUAUUAUUUUUUUAAAUAUAGAUGGUGGCACAGAAUCGGAGGCCCCGACUGUUUACUAAAAACACAACACAGUGCAAUCAUUAAUGUGAUAGUAUACUGUGUGAAAUUUGCCCAAUGCCAUUAAUAUAAGAGCGGUCAUAUAUAAAUGUGACUAAUUGAAAAUCUGGUUAAUAGCGGUCUUAACCAUGAGGAUCCUAAGGUAGCAAAAUAAAUUGGCCAUUAAAUGUGGUCCGGUAUCAAUAAUGUAACGAUGGCCUCACUGUCUCUACAACUUGCUCAGUGAAAUUGAAUU